This 433-nucleotide ribosomal RNA is filed under the name uncultured bacterium. RNAcentral describes it as "partial 16S ribosomal RNA". It matches the Rfam family "Bacterial small subunit ribosomal RNA", at positions 29 to 507 of the family's 1533-position model. The record is from RNAcentral.
AACGAACGCUGGCGGCAUGCCUAACACAUGCAAGUCGAACGAGACCUUCGGGUCUAGUGGCGCACGGGUGCGUAACGCGUGGGAACCUGCCCUUAGGUUCGGAAUAACUCCCCGAAAGGGGUGCUAAUACCGGAUAAUGUCUUCGGACCAAAGAUUUAUCGCAUUUGGAUGGGCCCGCGUUGGAUUAGCUAGUUGGUAGGGUAAAAGCCUACCAAGGCUACGAUCCAUAGCUGGUCUGAGAGGAUGAUCAGCCACACUGGGACUGAGACACGGCCCAGACUCCUACGGGAGGCAGCAGUGGGGAAUAUUGGACAAUGGGCGAAAGCCUGAUCCAGCAAUGCCGCGUGAGUGAUGAAGGCCUUAGGGUUGUAAAGCUCUUUUACCCGGGAUGAUAAUGACAGUACCGGGAGAAUAAGCUCCGGCUAACUCCGUG